RNAcentral lists this transfer RNA (77 nucleotides) under Elusimicrobiota bacterium. Its description in RNAcentral is "Elusimicrobia bacterium (groundwater metagenome) tRNA-His". It matches the Rfam family "tRNA". Rfam says of the family: Transfer RNA (tRNA) molecules are approximately 80 nucleotides in length. Their secondary structure includes four short double-helical elements and three loops (D, anti-codon, and T loops). The record is from RNAcentral. Lineage: Bacteria; Pseudomonadati; Elusimicrobiota.
GUGGCUGUAGCUCAGCUGGUUAGAGCGCGUGGCUGUGAACCACGAGGUCGCGGGUUCAAAUCCCGUCAGUCACCCCA